Molecule: ribosomal RNA, 483 nt
Filed under: uncultured bacterium
Lineage: Bacteria
Description: partial 16S ribosomal RNA
Rfam family: Bacterial small subunit ribosomal RNA
Source: RNAcentral
GACGAACGCUGGCGGCGUGCUUAACACAUGCAAGUCGAACGCUGAAGCUCAGCUUUUGUUGGGUGGAUGAGUGGCGAACGGGUGAGUAACACGUGAGUAACCUGCCUCCUUCUUUGGGAUAACGCCCGGAAACGGGUGCUAAUACUGGAUAUUCACUGGUCUUCGCAUGGGGGUUGGUGGAAAGGGUUUUUCUGGUGGGGGAUGGGCUCGCGGCCUAUCAGCUUGUUGGUGGGGUGAUGGCCUACCAAGGCUUUGACGGGUAGCCGGCCUGAGAGGGUGACCGGUCACAUUGGGACUGAGAUACGGCCCAGACUCCUACGGGAGGCAGCAGUGGAGAAUAUUGCACAAUGGGCGCAAGCCUGAUGCAGCGACGCCGCGUGAGGGAUGGAGGCCUUCGGGUUGUGAACCUCUUUCGCUCAUGGUCAAGCCGCAACAAUGGUUGUGGUGAGGGUAGUGGGUAAAGAAGCGCCGGCUAACUACGUG